UCAGGUUGAUAGGUUCGAGGUGGAAGCAUGGUGACAUGUGGAGCUGACGAAUACUAAUAGAUCGAGGACUUAACCAUAUAAUAUGUAGCAAUGUUAUCUAGUUUUGAAGGAAUAUAUAAUUUUCUUCUUGACAUUUCGAAAGAAAUGUUUAUAAUGAUAAAAGUCUGGUAAUGAUGGCAGAGAGGUCACACCCGUUCCCAUACCGAACACGGAAGUUAAGCUCUCUAGCGCCGAUGGUAGUUGGGACCUUGUCCCUGUGAGAGUAGGACGUUGCCAGGCUUAUAUUAUUCCGCAGUAGCUCAGUGGUAGAGCUAUCGGCUGUUAACCGAUCGGUCGUAGGUUCGAGUCCUACCUGCGGAGCCAUUAUGCUUCCAUAGCUCAGCUGGUAGAGCACUUCCAUGGUAAGGAAGAGGUCACCGGUUCAAGCCCGGUUGGAAGCUUGGGAAUAGGUUUAAAACUUUUUUGGCCCGUUGGUCAAGUGGUUAAGACACCGCCCUUUCACGGCGGUAACACGGGUUCGAAUCCCGUACGGGUCACCACUUUUGGAGGAUUAGCUCAGCUGGGAGAGCACCUGCCUUACAAGCAGGGGGUCGGCGGUUCGAUCCCGUCAUCCUCCACCAUAUAUAUUUUAAAUGUCGGAGGGGUAGCGAAGUGGCUAAACGCGGCGGACUGUAAAUCCGCUCCUUCGGGUUCGGCAGUUCGAAUCUGCCCCCCUCCACCAUUUUCUUUAAAAUAACCUGAGAGGGUUUAUUUUUUUGAAAAGAUAACCAUACUAGUAAAUAUUAAUGGGCUAUAGCCAAGCGGUAAGGCAACGGACUUUGACUCCGUCAUGCGCUGGUUCGAAUCCAGCUAGCCCAGCCAUUUACGAGCCAUUAGCUCAGUUGGUAGAGCAUCUGACUUUUAAUCAGAGGGUCGAAGGUUCGAGUCCUUCAUGGCUCACCAUUUUCGCGGAAGUAGUUCAGUGGUAGAAUACAACCUUGCCAAGGUUGGGGUCGCGGGUUCGAAUCCCGUCUUCCGCUUAAUUACUAAGGGGCCUUAGCUCAGCUGGGAGAGCGCCUGCCUUGCACGCAGGAGGUCAGCGGUUCGAUCCCGCUAGGCUCCAUCUAAUAGAGAAAGCUUACAUCAUAUGAUGUAAGCUUUNUCUUUGAUUCCCCGCUGCCAAGAAAAGCUUCUAGCGAGAUAAAAGGUGCCUGUACCGCAAACCGACACAGGUAGGCGAGGAGAGAAUCCUAAGGUGUGCGAGAGAACUCUGGUUAAGGAACUCGGCAAAAUGACCCCGUAACUUCGGGAGAAGGGGUGCUUUCUUAACGGAAAGCCGCAGUGAAUAGGCCCAAGCGACUGUUUAGCAAAAACACAGCUCUCUGCGAAGCCGUAAGGCGAAGUAUAGGGGGUGACACCUGCCCGGUGCUGGAAGGUUAAGGAGAGGGGUUAGCGUAAGCGAAGCUCUGAACUGAAGCCCCAGUAAACGGCGGCCGUAACUAUAACGGUCCUAAGGUAGCGAAAUUCCUUGUCGGGUAAGUUCCGACCCGCACGAAAGGUGUAACGAUUUGGGCACUGUCUCAACCAGAGACUCGGUGAAAUUAUAGUACCUGUGAAGAUGCAGGUUACCCGCGACAGGACGGAAAGACCCCGUGGAGCUUUACUGUAGCCUGAUAUUGAAUUUUGGUACAGUUUGUACAGGAUAGGCGGGAGCCUUUGAAACCGGAGCGCUAGCUUCGGUGGAGGCGCUGGUGGGAUACCGCCCUGACUGUAUUGAAAUUCUAACCUACGGGUCUUAUCGACCCGGGAGACAGUGUCAGGUGGGCAGUUUGACUGGGGCGGUCGCCUCCUAAAGUGUAACGGAGGCGCCCAAAGGUUCCCUCAGAAUGGUUGGAAAUCAUUCGUAGAGUGCAAAGGCAUAAGGGAGCUUGACUGCGAGACCUACAAGUCGAGCAGGGACGAAAGUCGGGCUUAGUGAUCCGGUGGUUCCGCAUGGAAGGGCCAUCGCUCAACGGAUAAAAGCUACCCCGGGGAUAACAGGCUUAUCUCCCCCAAGAGUCCACAUCGACGGGGAGGUUUGGCACCUCGAUGUCGGCUCAUCGCAUCCUGGGGCUGUAGUCGGUCCCAAGGGUUGGGCUGUUCGCCCAUUAAAGCGGUACGCGAGCUGGGUUCAGAACGUCGUGAGACAGUUCGGUCCCUAUCCGUCGUGGGCGUAGGAAAUUUGAGAGGAGCUGUCCUUAGUACGAGAGGACCGGGAUGGACGCACCGCUGGUGUACCAGUUGUUCUGCCAAGGGCAUAGCUGGGUAGCUAUGUGCGGAAGGGAUAAGUGCUGAAAGCAUCUAAGCAUGAAGCCCCCCUCAAGAUGAGAUUUCCCAUAGCGUAAGCUAGUAAGAUCCCUGAAAGAUGAUCAGGUUGAUAGGUUCGAGGUGGAAGCAUGGUGACAUGUGGAGCUGACGAAUACUAAUAGAUCGAGGACUUAACCAU
Molecule: ribosomal RNA, 2464 nt
Filed under: Streptococcus pneumoniae
Lineage: Bacteria; Bacillati; Bacillota; Bacilli; Lactobacillales; Streptococcaceae
Source: RNAcentral